GGAGGCGUGGCUGAGUGGUUUAAGGCACUCGCUUGGAGAGCGAGAGUUCUGGAAACAGGACCAGAGGUUCAAAUCCUCUCGCCUCCG
RNAcentral lists this transfer RNA (87 nucleotides) under Candidatus Giovannonibacteria bacterium RIFCSPHIGHO2_02_FULL_46_20. RNAcentral's name for it is "tRNA-Ser". It matches the Rfam family "tRNA". From Rfam's summary of the family: Transfer RNA (tRNA) molecules are approximately 80 nucleotides in length. Their secondary structure includes four short double-helical elements and three loops (D, anti-codon, and T loops). The record is from RNAcentral. Lineage: Bacteria; Candidatus Giovannoniibacteriota.